UGCCGGGGUGGCGGAAUUGGUAGACGCGCAUGAUUCAGGGUCAUGUGCCCGCAAGGGCGUGCGGGUUCAAGUCCCGCCCCCGGCACC
This 87-nucleotide transfer RNA is filed under the name Thermus thermophilus HB27. Its description in RNAcentral is "tRNA-Leu". It matches the Rfam family "tRNA". Rfam says of the family: Transfer RNA (tRNA) molecules are approximately 80 nucleotides in length. Their secondary structure includes four short double-helical elements and three loops (D, anti-codon, and T loops). Lineage: Bacteria; Thermotogati; Deinococcota; Deinococci; Thermales; Thermaceae. The record is from RNAcentral.